RNAcentral lists this ribosomal RNA (429 nucleotides) under Acidobacteriota bacterium. Its description in RNAcentral is "Acidobacteria bacterium partial 16S ribosomal RNA". It matches the Rfam family "Bacterial small subunit ribosomal RNA", at positions 355 to 776 of the family's 1533-position model. Lineage: Bacteria; Pseudomonadati; Acidobacteriota. The record is from RNAcentral.
UGGGGAAUUUUGGACAAUGGGGGAAACCCUGAUCCAGCCAUCCCGCGUGUGCGAUGAAGGCCUUCGGGUUGUAAAGCACUUUUGGCAGGAAAGAAACGUCAUGGGUUAAUACCCCGUGAAACUGACGGUACCUGCAGAAUAAGCACCGGCUAACUACGUGCCAGCAGCCGCGGUAAUACGUAGGGUGCAAGCGUUAAUCGGAAUUACUGGGCGUAAAGCGUGCGCAGGCGGUUCGGAAAGAAAGAUGUGAAAUCCCAGAGCUCAACUUUGGAACUGCAUUUUUAACUACCGGGCUAGAGUGUGUCAGAGAGAGGUGGAAUUCCGCAUGUAGCAGUGAAAUGCGUAGAUAUGCGGAGGAACACCGAUGGCGAAGGCAGCCUCCUGGGAUAACACUGACGCUCAUGCACGAAAGCGUGGGGAGCAAACAGG